UACGUAGGGCGCGAGCGUUGUUCGGAAUCACUGGGCGUAAAGCGCGUGUAGGCGGCCUGCUAAGUCUGAUGUGAAAGCCCGAGGCUCACCCUCGGAAGUGCAUUGGAAACUGGCAGACUGGAGUCCCGGAGAGGAGGGUGGAAUUCCUGGUGUAGCGGUGAAAUGCGUAGAUAUCAGGAGGAACACCGGUGGCGAAGGCGGCCCUCUGGACGGUGACUGACGCUGAGACGCGAAAGCGUGGGGAGCAAACAGG
RNAcentral lists this ribosomal RNA (253 nucleotides) under uncultured bacterium. RNAcentral's name for it is "partial 16S ribosomal RNA". It matches the Rfam family "Bacterial small subunit ribosomal RNA", at positions 524 to 776 of the family's 1533-position model. The record is from RNAcentral.